RNAcentral lists this long non-coding RNA (641 nucleotides) under Ananas comosus (pineapple). RNAcentral's name for it is "long non-coding RNA (ACOM_LNC021673)". Lineage: Eukaryota; Viridiplantae; Streptophyta; Magnoliopsida; Poales; Bromeliaceae. The record is from RNAcentral.
GAAUUUUUUAAAUGUAAGAAUAGCAUUUCAAAAUUUUUAUUUAUAAAAAUAGACCGAUAAAAACGGUGAAUCAUUUACUGCUUUUACUCUAAAUUAUAUAUUCUCUACAUCCAAACUUCAAAAGACGCAUGCAUUAAACAUUUACAAUACUUUUAUUUUUUUGAAGAGAGCAGUGACUGGUUUAUUGUAUUUUUUCACCGUAUAGAUCUAAUUUUGUAAACAAAUUAUUUAUCGGACUAUUAAAAUAAGACUGUUAAUUAAAAAAUUCAGAGGUUUUGAAGGAAUCUCAUAGAACAAGUCAUCUCCCUCUCUUCUCUUUUUAUUCUUUUUCUCUUCGUUUUGGCUUAAUUUUUCUGCAAUCCUAAGGCUUAAUUUGGUAUUGAGAUCUAUCUAACGCUAUUAGAUAAAAUGGAGUUGAGGAAAAAAUAUAUAGGGAUAUGUUUCUGCGUUCUCCGGUGGGACCGCAGAAAAUAUAUCGUAACCGACUCAUCGCGAUAUGCGGAAUGCAAUAUUACGUAUGGAAACAAAUAAGAUAUUUUUUCAACGUACUUUUUCACCGCACGUAAUGCUAUCUUCCCGCAAUCCCAAACGAAGCCUAACUCAUAAAAGAUUUUUAUUGCCGUCAUCGUGCCAUCAACCGU